GCAACCCUUGUUGCCUGUUACAAGUGUCAGGCGAGACUGCCCCCUCACGGGGGAGGAAGGUGAGGAUGACGCCAAGUCAGCAUGUCCCUCUGAUGUCCUGGGCUGCACACGCGCUACAAUCGCCACUACAGCGGGGCGCGACGGGGUAACCCUGAGCAAAUCCUACAAAAGUGGCGCCAGUUCGGAUUGAGGUCUGCAACUCGACCUCAUGAAGCCGGAAUCGCUAGUAAUCGCGGGUCAGCCAUACCGCGGUGAAUACGUUCUCAAGCCUUGUACUCACCGCCCGUCAAGUCAGGGAAGUUGGGAGUGCCCGAAGUAC
Molecule: ribosomal RNA, 319 nt
Filed under: Candidatus Kaiserbacteria bacterium CG10_big_fil_rev_8_21_14_0_10_59_10
Lineage: Bacteria; Candidatus Kaiseribacteriota
Description: bacterial SSU rRNA
Rfam family: Bacterial small subunit ribosomal RNA
Source: RNAcentral